RNAcentral lists this long non-coding RNA (5527 nucleotides) under Gossypium barbadense (sea-island cotton). Its description in RNAcentral is "long non-coding RNA (GBAR_LNC017280)". Lineage: Eukaryota; Viridiplantae; Streptophyta; Magnoliopsida; Malvales; Malvaceae. The record is from RNAcentral.
UCAAUCGUGUGGGUCGUUUAAUUGGGCUAAAGGUAAAAAGGAAUUAGUUAAGCAUGAGAUUAAUCAUGCUUGUUGGUGUAUGUAAAUGAUUUUAAAUGGAAAUGGUGGAAAGUGAAAAGGGGAAGGGACUUAAAAAGCAAUUUAACCAAAAUAAAGAAAUGGAAAAAGAAUGACAGAAUGCCUGCACUUAGCUCUGUUGUUGAAAGAAAUAAAUUUCAUUCAAUUUCCAAGUGUAUUCCAAUCCGUUUUAAAAGGCCACCAACGUUAAGUAUUUAUACACAUUUGUCAUGCUAAAUUUAGUAAGAUUUUUUCCUAAAAAAUAUCAACUAAAAAUCAGAUUCAUACUAUUCAUAGAAUUUUGACAAUUUCAAAAUAAAAAUAUGAUUUUAACUAGUCAACUACUAAUUCUUCAAUUCUUCGAUGUGGCCCUCCUCUUUUCUUUUUCGUUCUAAUUUAGCCCAUUUUGUUUGAUUUUGAAUUUCGGUAUUCCAAUUUCACCCCUAAUAAGAAAGACAUGAGUUUAGUAGCAUUUUAUUAAAAAAUUAGCUAAAACUAAAUACAUUAAAAGCACAAACUUAACUUGCUAUCAAUGACCAAAACCAAUUUAUUCAAACAAAAUGACCCUUUUGAGUAUCUCUUUAUCUACUAAUUCAAACCAAAUGAUAACAAAUAUUUUACAAUGAGAAUGUACUUAGAACAAGACUAUGAACAUAGGAAGAAAAUGCAACACCCUUAAUCCCUUUCCGUCAUUUGUUUAAGAGGCAUUACUAACAAACCAAAACAAGUAAUCAAUCAUAAUUAAACAUGUAAGCUAGCCAUUAACAUUAUAAUAUACAAGGGCAGGUCAUGUCAAACUAAUACUUUCAUACUAGACUCUUAUAAAAUCAAAUAACACAUCAUGCUAUGCAAUGCUAAACUUGGUCUUCUACUGUCUACACUCUUAUCACUAUUUAUCUCUUCUUGAAUGCUAAAAGUUGGAUACAUAACUAGACUAUUCCAAUUAUUAGCAUCAAAGUAUUGGUCCAUACUCCGACUAUUUAUUUAUUUUUAUCUUCAAUGAUGUUAGUAGAAUGCACUUAAUUUAAGUUUGCUAAUUCAUUCCAAUUCAAAGUAAAAUUUACUCUUACAGCCCCUAAUUCGAGUCUACGAGACCCUAAAAAUAGUUUAAAAAUAGUCAAGGACUAAUUUGAAAAUUUAGGGCCAUUUUUGAAAAUUCCCAGAACAUGGGACACACGGCCGUGUGGCCAGACCGUUUGGAAUGCCCCAGGCCGUGUGACUCUCAAAUUUGAGACACACGGCCGUGUCCCAGCUUGUGUAACUUACUGACUUAAGACACACAGUCGUGUCCCAAACCAUGUUUCAGCCCGUGUAACUCACUGGUCACACGGCUGUGCGUCAGCUCCUAUGAAAACUACACCUAUACUAUUUUUCAACACGCCCGUGUGUGUUGCUUGUGUGUGACAUACGGCGCGUGGCAAACCAUGUGCACCUAAAUGUACCUUAAAACUUGACUUUACCAUUUCCUACUUACUUGGGCACUAAGCAACUCAACUAGCAAUCAUUUAACCUACUUAAAACACGACUAAACAAGCUCAAAAUAUACCAAAUCUAUCACCUAAUAUGCCUAACAAAUGUACCCUUAUUGGUACCACAUUUUAUAUGUUCAAACAUUUCAACAAUACAUCAACCACUCAAAACUUUCAUCCAUACCAAUUUUGCUAAUAUUGAACUAACAUCUAGCUACUUAGGAUAUCAAGCUUUAAAACUAAAAACACAUACCACAACCUAACUUCAACCACAACCAUAUAUACAUAUAAACAUCAAUUCACUUGAAAUCCAAAAUUUCAUCACACUAUCAACCAAAAGACCUCCUAGGUACAUGCCAUUACAAAAUAUAACAUCACCGCACUUGGGCUCGAGAUUCGUUUUUGGAUGCUGAGUCGGUGAUAAGUUGGAAAGUACCUAGCCUGCACACAAAAAAUAAAAUCGCACGCUGAGUAUAACUCAGUGGUAUUUCUAUAAUCUGAACAAUUUAACUUAAUAUGAGUAAUCAAAAUGUGAGAACAUAUCAAUAAAUGUUAUGCACUUAUGUUUCAAAUCAUUAAUACAAAUUUUCUCAUUCUUUAUUACAUACACUAAAUUCCACAUGUUCAAAUAUAUAUAUCAAUGACAUAUCGUAUAACAUUUGAAUACUUCAAACCAUGCAAUGGCAUGAUUCACCUCUUUAGUGAAUACUUGAAUUUAUUUCAUGUUUUACAUCUCAUUUCAUAUUUCAUUUGUCAUCUUUGACACCCAGUGCCUCAUUCAAUAAAUCCAAACUAAUAACUGCGCCCAACGUUAUAUAAAUUGACACCCAGUGCCUCAUUAACUCAAGGUCGAAGAAAUCCCUGAACUCUUCCUAUCCUAUGGCAUGACAUCUAUAUCUAACUUAGCCCGAAAUAUUUAAUAGGGUUCCAUUUCACUUUCAAAUAUAUCCAAGGUCCAAUUCUCAUAUAUGCACAUUAUCACAUAUAAACACAUAUUCAAUUCAAUCUUCAUAUAUUCAAUAAAUUCAUAAUAUACCAAAUCAAUCCAUUUUAAUCGACUAUGAAUUCAAUUUAAUUUCAAAGUACAAAAGUACUCACCUCAAAUGCUUACCAUAUGCAACAAUUCAAAAUGCAACUUAGUUCGGAUUAUAGAAACACAAACCGUGAAUUCCGAGCUAUUCGACGUCGAUUUUAUCCUUCCCCUUUUUACUUGAGGAUUCCGGUACGACAUUAGUUACGGAAUAAAACAAUUAAAAUACAUUAAUAUUACACAAUUCAAUUUCAUAUUAAAUUUCAAUUUUCACACUAUAUUUUACUUAUUCUUCAAUUUAGUCCCUAAACCAAGACUAGUUUUUAACCUUCACAUUUAAUUUUAUAUUUUUAUACUAAUUUUACUCUAAACUAAAUUUAGCUUCUUAUUUUCCAAUUUGACCCCUUAAUUUUGAUUUUUUCUCAAUUUAGUCCCUAUUGCUCAAAAUCAACAAUUAAUUCCACAAUUUAGUUCUUUUCCACUUCUAACUUAAAAAUCUAUCUAUUUAAUCCCUAAUACUUAAACUAUUCAACAAUGACAACAUAAAAAAUCUUAAACAAUACUAAAAAUUACAACAUGAGUUGGGUAGCCCUAAGUGCCGAGAUUCUAAAAAUAUAAAAAUUACAAGAACAGAACUAAAUUAAACUAACCAAUUUUAAGUUUGAACUCCAAAAUUUCCUAGGCCGUUCGUCUCACUUUUUCUUUUCUUUCUUAAUUUUUGCAUGUGAUGGUUUAUUAUUUAUUACUAUUAUAUAAUAUAUAUAGACAUACAUUAAAUUUUUAUCUUAUUAAUUAUUAUAUUAAAGUUAUAUGUCAUAUAUAAUAUACACAUACAAUUUCAAUAAACCAUGACCGGCCACCACUCAACAUUUAAUUAAUGGUAUAUUUGCUAAUUUAGUCCCUUCUAUUUAUUUCAACCUAUAGACUAACUUUUAACUCACACGCGAUUUAGUCUCUAUACCUUAACAACUCCGAAUUUCACGAAAUUUACUAAUCCAAAAAUUAAUUCACUACUAAAAUAGCAUCGUCAAUAUUUAAUAAAAAUAUUUAAUAAAAAUAUUUACGGGCCGAUUUACGAAAAUAGAGUCCCGAAAAUAUACUUUCCAACACCCCUGACUAUCGAGUCGUUACAAAAAAGAAUUCAAUAAACAUCAAUACUAAAAAGUACUCAAUAACCCUUUGUUUUUUUCUUUUGCUUUUGUACUAGCACUACCAAAAAUUUGCUUACACAAGAAUGAAGAAAUGGAGUUGUACAAACAAUUUGCAAGCUUGCAACAUGCCCAAAAUGUCAACAUCAAUGGAUGAAGAAAUAGGUAUUCUAGGCAUGAGUUUUAUUCCAAAGAAUCUGAUCUAUUCUCGAAACGGUAAAGAGUAGAAAUUUCUGAAAUUUUAUUUGUUAAACAUGAGAAUCAAAUUGAGUUGAACAAGUGUAGGGAAAACAAAUUGAAUACUAAAACAGGGUCCCAUGAGAAAACCAAAUGAUUGAUACAUUUACAUUCGACAUGAAAAAUGAAUCUUACCUUGAAAAUACAACACAAUGGAAAAAAAUCAAAUUCUGGAGAGAGUUCAAGUCCCAAACCAAGUGAUCAAAUCUGAUGAAAAAAACAAUAAGAAACUCAUUAAUCAGAUCCAAAAAUAUUUCUAUAAGGUUGAUAAAUGAUCCAAAAAAUAGAAAGAGCAAAUCAAAUAAAGUCAAGAUUUAAGUAUGAGAGUCAACGCACCAUUUUACUUAGCUCCUUAAAUGUCUUGAUUUAUGUUCUGUCUUUGAUCCUACAUAAAAAUUAAAGGUACCUUCUUAAGAGAUGAAGACUUCACUGCAAAGUUGUAAUCCUUUGAAAGCACAUUUUGAUCAAUUUCUGAUCAAAGGUCCAUCAAUUGAGUUGAGUUAUAUAUAUGUUGGACUUGUCAUUGUAGCUAUAAAAGGAUGAAAUUGCAGUAAUGGUUAAAGAAUAGAAAGCAUGAUAUGUAGCAUUGAUUGUGAGUAAGGACUAGGUUUCAUUUCUAUACAUUUUUUUGUUAUUUUACUAAUGAAUUAGAUGGUUCAUAGUUGAACAUUAAUCGAUCAACUUAUAAAUCCUUGAAUUUUAUUCGAAUUCAAUUGAUUAAUUCAUACAUUGAUAUGCAUAAUUGUUUAUCUCAAAAUACACUAUCCUUAUCUUCAAGAAUCUUCAUCACCGUUCUUUGUAGUUCAUUCUUUAACUCUGUUUCUUCCUCUGUUUCAACAAUGACAGGAUCUUUAAUUUGGAACAUAAAGGAACAAUAUUUUGACACCCAAUCAAGAGAAACAAAGAUGAAACCUGUUCUAUUAAAAGAUAAUGGGAAUGGAAUUUUGAAAAUGGAGUUGUAUGCAAUUCUUUAGCCAUUAUCUAAGUUAGAUACAUUGAAAUAAUAAAAAUCCAAAAAAAAACCCACAAGCGCAAUUAUACAAUAAUUGCAUUGAAAUCAAUUUUAAAAGCAACAAAUCCAUAUACACUAUAAAAAAAAAAGUAACAAUGAAUAACAUAAAAUAGCAAUUCAAUAGAAACUACUGAAAAAUAAAAGAUUCAUAUUAGUGCAAAAGGCUCACAAUUUAAUAAAAAAGUAUCGAACAAAUUAAGAAUUAGGAGAUUAGAUCUAUAAACCAAAACCCAUUAUAAGAACCUGUACAGAUCUAGGGGAUUUGAAAUUUGAGUCUCAAUUAAAACUUACCGAAUCUUGGAUCUUGCGAGACAUCCAAAAAAUGCUUCACUUCUUUUUUCAGUGGAUUAAGCUAUCAGGAAUUUCCAAUUUUGAAGAGAAAAAGGUUUUGGGUGUGCGAAGCAGGUUGGGAGGAAAUGUGAUUAAAAGAAAAUUAAAUUAAGUGUAGAAGAGAUAAAGUUGAGGAAAAAAACAUGAAAAAGGGAGAGGCCUAAAUCACCAUUUAGUGCGAAGAGAACUGAAUGGUAUGAUGCAUUUUGAGCUGAAUAAUCCCGUAAUGGAAUAUGACUGUAAU